AACCCUCUUGAAUCACCACUCUCUUAUAUAGCAUGAACUCUUCAAGACAAUCUCGCCUUGAGCAAAACUCCCCAAGAGUUCGGACUUUAUCAGGAUAGCCUAACCCUGAGCUACACUCCCCUGUCUAGACUUCAACCUCUAAGUCUCUGAAGGUACGUCACCAACUACUUCACCAAGUACGUCACCGAGUACGUCAACACCUAAUGCACACCGAAGAUACCAACGAGCACGUCAACCCCAACGCACAACUUGGUCACCACAACACAACGGAAAAUUCCGCCACACGUAAUGUUAGCACCAACGUCACAACACCAAGUACAACGGACACUCCGUCAUACACUAUGUCAACACCAACGUAAAC
RNAcentral lists this long non-coding RNA (361 nucleotides) under Brassica napus (rape). RNAcentral's name for it is "long non-coding RNA (BNAP_LNC020443)". Lineage: Eukaryota; Viridiplantae; Streptophyta; Magnoliopsida; Brassicales; Brassicaceae. The record is from RNAcentral.